Molecule: long non-coding RNA, 572 nt
Organism: Lactuca sativa (garden lettuce)
Lineage: Eukaryota; Viridiplantae; Streptophyta; Magnoliopsida; Asterales; Asteraceae
Source: RefSeq, a predicted model, not a curated record
UCAUUACCAAACAAAGGUAAUGAUGGAAAUUAACAAAAUAGCUUAGCUACUUAGAGACGUAGGGGUUGUUUGUUUUUCGUAAAAAAAUCUCUUCAAACUUCUUUAUGUUGCGUGGCGCAGCACACACGCAACAUUUUUUAGCCUCUUCAAACUUAACAAAAAAAGUCAGACAGUCCCCUCAAAAAAUGCGUCGCACCCUUUUUUUUUUUAUUUAUUUAUUUUUUUUUCCUUCCCUCGAUGAGUGCUUCAUCUCUGACUGGCAUCUUCAAUCGUUGCAGCCUCCUUGGCUGAUGCAGCCUCCUCCCCAUCACCAUCUCCUCCCCGACGUAGUCGCCGUCGCCAGUCAGUCUCCGAUCGACAUCAGGUGAAGCAAAAGCAAACAGGAACCAAGAGAAUGUUGCUCCAAGUGUUGAAUCAAGUUUUUGUGAAGGAACUCCAAAUCAAAAGCAAUUCACAAGGAUGUUAUUUAUAGCUAAAACAAUAUAAUUUUAAUGUUAAUUCAUUUAAUUUGUAAAUAGUAUUUAAAAGUUAUUAAAAAAAUUGCGUUGAAAAACUAUUUUAAUUUUGUAAAA